GACGAACGCUGGCGGCGUGCCUAAUACAUGCAAGUAGAACGCUGAAGGAGGAGCUUGCUUCUCUGGAUGAGUUGCGAACGGGUGAGUAACGCGUAGGUAACCUGCCUGGUAGCGGGGGAUAACUAUUGGAAACGAUAGCUAAUACCGCAUAAUAGUAGAUGUUGCAUGACAUUUGCUUAAAAGGUGCAAUUGCAUCACUACCAGAUGGACCUGCGUUGUAUUAGCUAGUUGGUGGGGUAACGGCUCACCAAGGCGACGAUACAUAGCCGACCUGAGAGGGGGAUCGGCCACACUGGGACUGAGACACGGCCCAGACUCCUACGGGAGGCAGCAGUAGGGAAUCUUCGGCAAUGGACGGAAGUCUGACCGAGCAACGCCGCGCGAGUGAAGAAGGUUUUCGGAUCGUAAAGCUCUGUUGUAAGAGAAGAACGAGUGUGAGAGUGGAAAGUUCACACUGUGACGGUAUCUUACCAGAAAGGGACGGCUAACUACGUG
RNAcentral lists this ribosomal RNA (495 nucleotides) under uncultured bacterium. Its description in RNAcentral is "partial 16S ribosomal RNA". It matches the Rfam family "Bacterial small subunit ribosomal RNA", at positions 28 to 507 of the family's 1533-position model. The record is from RNAcentral.